CCUACGGGUGGCACCAGUGGGGAAUAUUGGACAAUGGGCGCAAGCCUGAUCCAGCCAUGCCGCGUGAGUGAUGAAGGCCUUAGGGUUGUAAAGCUCUUUUGUCCGGGAAGAUAAUGACUGUACCGGAAGAAUAAGCCCCGGCUAACUUCGUGCCAGCAGCCGCGGUAAUACGAAGGGGGCUAGCGUUGCUCGGAAUCACUGGGCGUAAAGGGCGCGUAGGCGGACUUUUAAGUCGGAGGUGAAAGCCCAGGGCUCAACCCUGGAAUUGCCUUCGAUACUGGGAGUCUUGAGUUCGGAAGAGGUUGGUGGAACUGCGAGUGUAGAGGUGAAAUUCGUAGAUAUUCGCAAGAACACCGGUGGCGAAGGCGGCCAACUGGUCCGAAACUGACGCUGAGGCGCGAAAGCGUGGGGAGCAAACAGGAUUAGAUACCCCGGUAGUC
RNAcentral lists this ribosomal RNA (440 nucleotides) under uncultured bacterium. Its description in RNAcentral is "bacterial SSU rRNA". It matches the Rfam family "Bacterial small subunit ribosomal RNA", at positions 338 to 795 of the family's 1533-position model. The record is from RNAcentral.